AGAGUUUGAUCCUGGCUCAGGACGAACGCUGGCGGCGUGCUUAACACAUGCAAGUCGAACGAUGAUGCCCAGCUUGCUGGGUGGAUUAGUGGCGAACGGGUGAGUAACACGUGAGUAACCUGCCCCUGACUCUGGGAUAAGCGUUGGAAACGACGUCUAAUACUGGAUAUGAUCACUGGCCGCAUGGUCUGGUGGUGGAAAGAUUUUUUGGUUGGGGAUGGACCCGCGGCGCAUUAGCUAGUUGGUGAGGUAAUGGCUCACCAAGGCGACGAUGCGUAGCCGACCUGAGAGGGUGAUCGGCCACACUGGGACUGAGACACGGCCCAGACUCCUACGGGAGGCAGCAGUAGGGAAUCUUCCGCAAUGGACGAAAGUCUGACGGAGCAACGCCGCGUGAGUGAUGAAGGUUUUCGGAUCGUAAAGCUCUGUUGUUAGGGAAGAACAAGUACGAGAGUAACUGCUCGUACCUUGACGGUACCUAACCAGAAAGCCACGGCUAACUACGUGCCAGCAGCCGCGGUAAUAGAGUUUGAUCCUGGCUCAGCCAGCAGCCGCGGUAAU
This 561-nucleotide ribosomal RNA is filed under the name uncultured endophytic bacterium. RNAcentral's name for it is "bacterial SSU rRNA". It matches the Rfam family "Bacterial small subunit ribosomal RNA", at positions 9 to 546 of the family's 1533-position model. The record is from RNAcentral.